CAGAGUUUUCUAAACUCCAAACCACUGUGAACUUACCUUCUGUUGCCUCGGCGGCAGGCCUCAUCUUCGGGUAGGCUGGCCGCCGGUGGACUACUAAACUACUGUUAAUAUUUGUCAUUCUGAAUACAAAACUUAAUAAGUUA
Molecule: unclassified non-coding RNA, 143 nt
Filed under: uncultured Xylariales
Lineage: Eukaryota; Fungi; Ascomycota; Sordariomycetes; Xylariales
Description: sequence contains ITS1
Source: RNAcentral